This is a long non-coding RNA of Hippocampus comes (tiger tail seahorse), 423 nucleotides long. RefSeq lists it as uncharacterized. Lineage: Eukaryota; Metazoa; Chordata; Actinopteri; Syngnathiformes; Syngnathidae. The record is from RefSeq and is a predicted model, not a curated record. The transcript has 3 exons.
ACAAAAAGCGGACAGGUUUCCACAAGAGCCUAACAUACUUGUUUCCUCAGGGUCCAGCUGAAUGAGGCCCAGGAUGAAAUCCUGAAGAAGAAAGAACUGCUGGAGGACCUGCAGCCCGACAACACUCAGAACUCCUUCAAGGUGGAUGAGCUCAUGGCCGCGCUGAAAAAGAAGGACGAAGACAUGAGGGCCAUGGAAGAAAGGUACAAAAUGUACCUGGAGAAAGCUCGCAAUGUGAUCCAAGCUCUGGAUCCCAAACUGAACCCUGCCACCACUGAGAUCCAAGCUCUGAGGAACCAGCUGGCUGACAGAGACAAGCAGAUCCUCAACCUGGAGGUAAUUCCGCUCCCAUGUUGUUGUUGUUUUUUUUUCCCUCGAAGGGCCGUUGAAACCACACCCAUUUUCAAUUGUCUCAUCGCCUUA